AGAAUCAACGCUGGCGGCGUGCCUAACACAUGCAAGUCGAACGAGAAAGUGGAGCAAUCCAUGAGUAAAGUGGCGCACGGGUGAGUAACACGUGACUAACCUACCUUUUAGUGGGGGAUAACCUAGGGAAACCUGGGCUAAUACCGCAUAAUACCUACGGGUCAAAGCAGCAAUGCGCUGGAAGAGGGGGUCGCGGUCGAUUAGUUAGUUGGCAGGGUAAUGGCCUACCAAGACUGUGAUCGAUAUCCGGCCUGAGAGGGCGCACGGACACACUGGAACUGAAACACGGUCCAGACUCCUACGGGAGGCAGCAGUGGGGAAUUUUGCGCAAUGGGGGAAACCCUGACGCAGUAACGCCGCGUGGAGGAUGAAGUCCCUUGGGACGUAAACUCCUUUCGAUCGGGACGAUAAUGACGGUACCGGAAGAAGAAGCCCCGGCUAACUUCGCGCCAGCAGCCGC
Molecule: ribosomal RNA, 460 nt
Filed under: uncultured bacterium
Lineage: Bacteria
Description: SSU rRNA
Rfam family: Bacterial small subunit ribosomal RNA
Source: RNAcentral